UCCAGUUGAUGCUUUAGAUCGCACAAUGUAACAUUGACGUUGAUCAUUUGGUUUUUCCUUGUUGUAGUAAACUGCAAUAGGUAAGUGUUCCGGUUUUUAAAAAAAUAGGUAUGUGUUCCUUUCCACCGGGUAAAUAUCAUUUUUUUGUGUUGUGAAUGAAAAUUGAACCAAACACCCCUAUUGAUAUAGGUUUUGGUGUGUUUUCAACUACACAAAUUGUCGGUGCGUUUUGGUCGACAAAUUACAUGUUUGACUGGCUUGGUUCACAUGUUAAGUAGCAAACCAGGUUUGCAUAUUACGUAGCGAACCUGGUUCGCAUCCAGUGAACGGUAUAGUUCUGUUUUCAAUACAUUUUAUCACCACAUAUAAUUAUCCAUACCUUUAAUCCAUAAUUAAACGUAAAAAUUAUCCAAUCCAUCAAAUGUUGUUUUCGGAUUUUUAAAAACCGUUAAAAAUAAUUUUUAGUCACCAAAGAGAUUAUUGGGUUGAGUCGCGGACUAGUUCGUUCUCUUUACGAUGUUUCGUGGCAAUGCCCAAAAUUUUGCAAGCAGACUAUUAACCAGGAUAAAAUAGCUCAGUUACAAUUCUUGAAUACACAUUCUUGAAUGGUACUACAAUACCACUCGAAUUAAUGCUACGACAUCAAUCUAUAAUUCAUUGGUACUACAAUGCCACUCAAAUUGAUGAUACGACAUCAAUCUAUGAAUCAACGGUACUAUGAUACCACACUAUGAUUUGGUGGUACUACAAUGCCACCCGUAUUGAUACUAUAAUAUCAAUCAAUAAUGACACUGAGACCAUUACAAUAUGGUAUUAAGACCAUUCAUGAACUAUGGUACUAUGACGAUUCUUUAAUUGUAGGAACAAGUGAUACUUUGAUUGUUGAAUAUUUUGGAUUCACUUUAAUUAAUUUAUUAAAAUACAAUUAAAUGUGUAUAAAAUCAAAUAUAUUAUCUUGUCAUUAUUAUAAGGCUUAAUUUUGAACGGGUCGUGAUGGGUUGGGUCGUUCUUUCUAGUCAGCCUAUUGAGAGGUCCAUGUCUCCACUAAUGAGUAUAUAUUCUAGCCAUCCCAUUAAGCUAGAUGAUAUUAAUAAAAACAUAACAGCAUAAUGACUCAUCAAUGAGAGGUAGAAGCACCGUCUCAACCCUCUCUCAGUUUCAAUCAAUGAAGGAUUCAUCCGCUGUCAUUCCAGGUACACCGUUCCCAUAUAUUCUUAUUUACAAUAUGAUAUACUUCAUAUCUACAAUAUAUAAAUAUUAAUCAAAUUCUUUCAUUGAUCACUCUUAAAAUAAAUUAAUACUAAUAUAAAAACUAGUAUCACACAACCCAUAUAAAUAAAUUUCAAUAUUCUGAAAAAAUAAGAACAAAAUUUAAUGCAAAUCUUCAAGUUUGCAUUACCAAAUCAAGAAACCAAUUAUGGUUAACUUGUUAAUUCUAAUUUUAAUAUUAAUAUAGCACAAUGUCAUAAGAGGGUCGUUAAACUCCUCACAGAUAUAUGUAAAGACAGUUUUCCAUCAAUAAUAGAUUCAUUUCUAUAUCAUGUUCAUAUAUAUCAGUUUAUAUAAUAAGUUUUCAUGAUAUAGCAUCACUAUAUAAUAUAAUAUGAGGUAAAUAUAAAAUAUUAACUAACCUCUAAAUUGAUCAUGCGAUGAAUUGCAGUAGGGCAGGUAUAGGAAAACCAAGGUGCUAGAGAAUUCUAAUUAUACAUGUAAGCUCUACCAAAGCUAAUUGGAAAAAUCAAUUCAACAAGUACCCUUUAUGCAUACCACCAAUGCGAAAUGAAUUUUUUCAUACACAGUGGAUGAAGACAAAAUUUCCAAUAAGGAAAAAUUUGUAAUCAAUUGUAUUAUUAUUAUUAUUAUUAUUUUAUUUUUUUUACACAAAAAGAAAUUUCUCAAAAAAUAUAACGUAGAAAAGAAAGAAAGGAAUUUACGAACGAAAAAAAAAUACAUAUAUGUGUAUUAGUGGUAAUUCACUUCACACUCGUUCGUAGUUCGUACCCCAUUCAACAUUCCGUCAGGAGACUUGGUGGCAAUUCACUUCACUCUUCAUCGCCGUCGACCUAUAUUCCUUUGGAAAUUACACAAGAAACGAUCUUAUGUAGACUCCCGGUCAAGUCUCUCCAACAUUUCCGCUGUGUAUGCAAGUCAUGGGAUUCUCUAAUCUCAAAGGAUCUCAAAUUCGCCAAGAAACACCUUCGCAUGUCUCCCAACCGCCAAAACCUCGUUACAACCACGUGGAGGGAGGCUGAAAAGUUAACUGUAAUGUCCUCUCCAUUCAACUCUCUUAAUCUCCACUCUAAUUUCGACUCUAAAUU
Molecule: long non-coding RNA, 2318 nt
Filed under: Trifolium pratense (red clover)
Lineage: Eukaryota; Viridiplantae; Streptophyta; Magnoliopsida; Fabales; Fabaceae
Description: long non-coding RNA (TPRA_LNC003441)
Source: RNAcentral